GCUGGGAUUACAGGCGUGGGCCACUGUGCCAGGCUCCAAAUCUUCAUUUGUGUUGUUCUUGUGUGGAAUGCCCUUCUUCAUCCCUUCCUAGUCUCCAAACUUUGUACACACUCAGUUGAACCCAUUUCGUGGGUCCCUGCUGAAGGCAUGCCACUUCUACCAAGCCUUUUCUCCAUAUUAUUCCCCUUUUUUGUCCUCUGAUGGCCUAAAUACGUUGCAGUAACACUCAGGUGCUUAUCUCUUACUCGUUGUCAUUUUUUUUUGCUGCAAAUGUGUUCAAGAAAUGUUUAUUAAACACCUAAUAUAUACCAGGUGCCUUGAUAGGAAUACCAGGUAGAGCAAGACAAAUGCAAACAUUGCCCUUAUUUCUUCAAAUAUUUUUUCUUUCCAUUCUCUUGCUCCUCUCCUUUGGUGUGACUAUUGGAGUCAUGUGCAUGUACAUAAUAUACAUGUAUAUUGAACUAACUGGCAUUGUCUCACAGCUCAGUGACGCUCUGUUCAUUUUUUUUUCAAGAUUUUCUUUAUGUUUCCUUUUGGAUAAUUGCUAUGUUUUCAUAUUCAUUAAUCUUUUUUCAAUAUCUAAUAUUGAAAUCCUGUCCAGUUCAUUCUUCAUAUAAAACAUUGUAGUUGUUGCCUCUACCAGUUUGAUUUGGGUGUGGGUGUGUGUCUUACAUCUUUUAUGUCUUAACAUGCUCAACUUUUCUGCAGCUUCUUAAACACAUAGACUACAAUUAUAAUGACAGUUUUAAUAUCCUUGUCUACUAAUUCUAUGAUCUAUGCUAUUUCUGGCAUAGUUUCUAUUGAUUGAUUUUUCUCUUCAUUACAGUUCAUAAUUUCCUGCUUCUUGCAUGCCUGGAAAUUUUUUUUUUUUUAACAAGAUGCUAGACUUUGUAAAAUUUACUUACUUGAAAAACAAUUUUGUUCUUUUGGGUUUUGAUUUUUUUUAGGUGGAACCAAUUCAGUCAUUUAUGUAGGGUUAAUUGUAUCCCACUACUAAGACAGUACCCUUCAAAGUUCCUUACCCCAUACCCAAAGUGAAUUAUGUGGUUUUUCUACUUUGGUAGGAACGGGAACUAUUCUUAGGAACUGAGUUUGUGGACUUUUUUUUUGCUCUUUUCCUUUCCCUGUCUGGUAAUUUAUUUCUUCUUCUUUCUUCCUUCUCCUUCUU
RNAcentral lists this long non-coding RNA (1168 nucleotides) under Homo sapiens (human). RNAcentral's name for it is "non-protein coding lnc-BBOX1-5:1". Lineage: Eukaryota; Metazoa; Chordata; Mammalia; Primates; Hominidae. The record is from RNAcentral.